Molecule: ribosomal RNA, 476 nt
Filed under: uncultured Rhodoferax sp.
Lineage: Bacteria; Pseudomonadati; Pseudomonadota; Betaproteobacteria; Burkholderiales; Comamonadaceae
Description: bacterial SSU rRNA
Rfam family: Bacterial small subunit ribosomal RNA
Source: RNAcentral
AAGGAAUUGACGGGACCCGCACAAGCGGUGGAUGAUGUGGAUUAAUUCGAUGCAACGCGAAAACCUUACCCACCUUUGACAUGUACGGAAGUUACCAGAGAUGGUUCGUGCUCGAAAGAGAACCGUAACACAGGGUGCUGCAUGGCUGUCGUCAGCUCGUGUCGUGAGAUGUUGGGUUAAGUCCCGCAACGAGCGCAACCCUUGUCAUUAGUUGCUACAUUUAGUUGGGCACUCUAAUGAGACUGCCGGUGACAAACCGGAGGAAGGUGGGGAUGACGUCAAGUCCUCAUGGCCCUUAUAGGUGGGGCUACACACGUCAUACAAUGGCUGGUACAAAGGGUUGCCAACCCGCGAGGGGGAGCUAAUCCCAUAAAGCCAGUCGUAGUCCGGAUCGUAGUCUGCAACUCGACUGCGUGAAGUCGGAAUCGCUAGUAAUCGUGGAUCAGAAUGUCACGGUGAAUACGUUCCCGGGUCUU